RNAcentral lists this transfer RNA (66 nucleotides) under Snellenius radicalis. Its description in RNAcentral is "tRNA-Ala". Lineage: Eukaryota; Metazoa; Arthropoda; Insecta; Hymenoptera; Braconidae. The record is from RNAcentral.
AGAUUAAUAGUUUAAAUAAAAUAUUUAAUUUGCAUUUAAAUGAUAUUAGAAAAUUAAUUUAAUUUA